AAUAUUAUCGUCAAAAUUAUCCUUAUAUCUUCAAUUAUAACCGCCGGCAAUCAUUAUCUUUUUUGCAAUCUUGAAGGAUGGACGCAAGGACGGUGUUUUCCUCAUGGAGUUUUCUUCGAACUCCAACCAAUACCAGUUUUUUAACAUGCUCUGUCAUAUUCGGGUUUAACCGAUUCAUCUUUCAUUUAUGUUGGUAACCAGUUUCGUAAUCACAUCUGGACGAAAUAUCCGAUCCGAUUUGCCUACAACAAGCUUUUAUUCUGAUACUUCUCAAUACGCUACGACUCAAAGUUUCGUAAUUCACUCUUCAGCUAUUGUGCAACGAGAGCAGCUAAACAAUGCACUACGUUCGCAUACAAAAAUAACAAGAGUAACUCAGUGCUACAGAAACAAUUUGUAUAGUGGAGUGAUGUUGCAAAUUUCUUAAAUGUGUUAAGUGAGACGUGCCUCGUGGCUCGUGCCCUGCUGACUCAGAGAGCAGACGUCAAUGCGGUAAGAACAGUAUCGCGGUAAAGUAAAUAAGUCGUAAUAUUUUCAUGGGUGCCGCCGCGGCGGGCAUCUCGCCCGUUAUGCGUUGCUCAAAUAAACAAACGUGUUGAUUUUUAUACAGUAUCGGCCUUUCCAGUAGCGAACAAAUCUAACCGCGAUUCCAGCUAACUAUCAUCGUUGUAUCUGUAUUCUAAACUCGCUUCGACCAUUACCCGGAAUAUAUUCCAAAACUUGUAGCUACGAGAACUUAGGUUCAGAGUUUAUUAUAUCGGAACUGGUCAUACUGCAAUAGAGAUAUUUGGGGAAAAGAUUUUUUGGCCAAAGCAGAUUUCGUUUGAUUAGGAUCUUACUCAUGACGUGACUUCUGUGCAUAAAUUUUGUAAAGUCGCUACGGCACAAGUCCUAGACAAAUCCAAGUCUCCUAAACUUAAAGCAGUUUAUCUAUGUAAAUUUUUAUUGUUCAUAUAAUGGCAAAUACACGUAUUUUGUGUUCAUUCUAUCUAACUAAAAAGAUCUUCUUUUUAUACCCUAUCAUCAUCCCUUUAUCGUCAGGAUAAAGAAGUUAAAUGAAUCUAAAUUCAAGCUAAAUCGAAUAGAAAAUCUAGGUACCAAAUAGGAACGUAUAAUUCAAAAUACUACAACAAUCGCAAGCGUUGUUGAACAUGUAAGCUACCGUAACUUUUUAUUUUAAUUAUCAUCUUAUUAUGAGGCGAGGCGUUAAUUUUUACUAGGCUUAUUUCCAAUAAUGAGCUCGCUCUCAAAAAGUUUCCAAAAAAAGCUCAAUUCCAAUUGAAGAAAUAAGGUCUGCUUCAGUUAUCGGGGAGGCAUCGGUCGGGUUCUGCGACGACGUACAGUCUCGCGCUCCCGCCGCGCGCCGGCGCAUCGUCCGCGCACUGCACUCGGAUGCAUCGCCGCGCCCGCGACCGCCCGCGCUCCCGUGUGCAUGUGAUCGAGUGAAAUGCCGCAAACAGACUGUUCCGUUCAGGUUUCUAUAACAGUGCAACCCGGUUACGAUAAAUUGCAAGUGUUCGUUGACGUUUACAUGAGUGAGUAGUCCGAUGUUUGACAGUAGUUUGUAGUGGAUUUUAAGUUGCUGUACGUUAAAAAUUUGUAUACAAAAUUAUAAAAAAAAGUACUUUAAAUUUUUGAGGAGCUUUUCAGGUUAUGAAUCGAAAGGAAAAGCCGGCGUCAGGUGCGCGCGGGGUGCGGCCCGAGCCAGUCGGGUGGUGGGUCGCGGUGCCGGGUGCAAGAGCAGCGAGUGGGCGCGGGUCGACGACCGCUGCACGGAGCCCUGCCAGCGAAAACGGCAGAAAACCUCACGAAGGGCGGCAGCACACGGUGU
Trichoplusia ni (cabbage looper) is the source of this 1831-nucleotide long non-coding RNA. RefSeq lists it as uncharacterized. The transcript is spliced from 3 exons. NCBI's taxonomy places the organism in Eukaryota, Metazoa, Arthropoda, Insecta, Lepidoptera, Noctuidae. The record is from RefSeq and is a predicted model, not a curated record.